Molecule: unclassified non-coding RNA, 327 nt
Filed under: uncultured fungus
Lineage: Eukaryota; Fungi
Description: partial contains 5.8S ribosomal RNA and internal transcribed spacer 2
Rfam family: 5.8S ribosomal RNA (bases 1-133)
Source: RNAcentral
UGGUUCUGGCAUCGAUGAAGAACGCAGCGAAAUGCGAUACGUAGUGUGAAUUGCAGAAUUCAGUGAAUCAUCGAAUCUUUGAACGCACAUUGCGCUCCCCGGCAUUCCGGGGAGCACGCCUGUUCGAGCGUCAUUUACACCCUCAAGCCUAGCUUGGUGUUGGGCGUCUGUCCCGCACUCGUUGCGCGGACUCGCCUCAAAGUCAUUGGCGGCGGUCGUGCCGGCUCCUCGCGCAGCACAUUUGCGCUUCUCGGAGGCCCGGCGGAUCGGCAUCCAGCAAGCUACCUUUUAUGACUUGACCUCGGAUCAGGUGAGGAUACCCGCUGA